RNAcentral lists this ribosomal RNA (324 nucleotides) under uncultured bacterium. RNAcentral's name for it is "bacterial SSU rRNA". It matches the Rfam family "Bacterial small subunit ribosomal RNA", at positions 28 to 334 of the family's 1533-position model. The record is from RNAcentral.
GAUGAACGCUGGCGGCGUGCCUAACACAUGCAAGUCGAGCGAAGCGCAUGAAUACGAUUCUUCGGAUGAAGAUUCAUGUGACUGAGCGGCGGACGGGUGAGUAACGCGUGGGCAACCUGCCUUACACAGGGGGAUAACAGUUAGAAAUGACUGCUAAUACCGCAUAAGACCACGAAGCCGCAUGGCUAAGUGGUAAAAACUCCGGUGGUGUAAGAUGGGCCCGCGUCUGAUUAGGUAGUUGGCGGGGUAACGGCCCACCAAGCCGACGAUCAGUAGCCGACCUGAGAGGGUGACCGGCCACAUUGGGACUGAGACACGGCCCAG